Molecule: ribosomal RNA, 263 nt
Filed under: uncultured fungus
Lineage: Eukaryota; Fungi
Description: partial small subunit ribosomal RNA
Rfam family: Eukaryotic small subunit ribosomal RNA (bases 129-263)
Source: RNAcentral
GCGUGCGCUCGGGCUGGUCGGCCGUCAUGGUCUGUACCGUUCGGGUCACGCCCCACUGUAGGAUACUCACCGCUGUCCUUAACUGGGUGGCGGUCAAAGGGUGGCGCGCCAGGGGCAACUCUGACGCGUUGCCUGGGGUUCCUACUCAUUUACUUUGAGCAAAUUAGAGUGUUCAAAGCAGGCAAUCGAGCCUUGAAUACUUCAGCAUGGGAUAAUGGAACAGGACUGGGGUCCUGAUUUCGUUGGUUUCUGGGAUCUCAGUA